Molecule: long non-coding RNA, 229 nt
Filed under: Nicotiana benthamiana
Lineage: Eukaryota; Viridiplantae; Streptophyta; Magnoliopsida; Solanales; Solanaceae
Description: long non-coding RNA (NBEN_LNC001014)
Source: RNAcentral
CUUCUUGCCCUCCGAUUUACCUUGCCCACUCCUGUUGCUAGGCGGCUUUUUCUGCCCCCAACCUUUGCGGUUGUUUCCCUUGUCCCUGCGACUCUCUCCCUCACCUUUGCCUUGAUUGGCCUUUUUGUCUUUAGAUUGGGUAAAGUAUUCAGUGAGCGAUUCCGCAACGGCAAUGGCAUCGUCGAGCGUUUGAACGCCACGCCUAUCAAGCUCGGUCUUGGCCCAAUCC